RNAcentral lists this ribosomal RNA (253 nucleotides) under uncultured bacterium. RNAcentral's name for it is "partial 16S ribosomal RNA". It matches the Rfam family "Bacterial small subunit ribosomal RNA", at positions 524 to 776 of the family's 1533-position model. The record is from RNAcentral.
UACGGAGGUGGCGAGCGUUGCUCGGAUUCAUUGGGUGUAAAGGGUCGGUAGGCGGUCCGGUAAGUGCCCGGUGAAAUCCUACGGCUCAACCGUAGGGCGUUCGGGUAGACUGCCGGUCUUGAGGGCUGGAGGGGCAAGCGGAAUUCCCGGUGUAAGAGUGAAAUCUGUAGAUAUCGGGAGGAACACCAGUGGCGAAGGCGGCUUGCUGGACAGCAUCUGACGCUGAGCGACGAAAGCGUGGGGAGCAAACAGG